Molecule: long non-coding RNA, 298 nt
Organism: Setaria italica (foxtail millet)
Lineage: Eukaryota; Viridiplantae; Streptophyta; Magnoliopsida; Poales; Poaceae
Exons: 2
Source: RefSeq, a predicted model, not a curated record
CAGACACGUCAGCUCAACCACUACACCACUCGUUCCCUUCCUCUCGAAGCGUCCGUUCCCCAGGAACAGUUGAGAAUAGAGUGAGCGAGUCUUGAUGGUGUCUGAGGUGCAAGUGGUGCUCGAUGGUGAUAUCUUUUGCGGGGGUUUCAACAUCAACGGGUACGUCAUCGGUUUUAUCUUCUGCGUCGGUGUUCGGUUCCACUGUGAUUUUCUUGGUAUCGUCGGUGCCCACGAUGCCAACGACAGUGCUGGACUUGUAAACUAGAAUAUGGUAAUGGAAAUGUGGAGAAGUUUUGGA